UCCUUCCUUCCUUCCUUCCUUCCUUCCUUCCUUCCUAGGCUCCUGGACCCUGAGAUCCAGCCCAAGCCCGGAGCUGAGAUGGAGGGUGUGAUGCUCAACCGGCUGAGUCACCCAGGUGCCCCUCUGUGUUGUUUCUUAAAUUGCAUGUGAAUCUACAAUUUUCUGCAAAGAAAAAGAUCAAAAGAAGAAGGUCCAAGGCCAAGAAAGGAUCCCUGUGCUUCCCUGCCGUGAGGGAUGCUCCCCGCAGGGGAAGUGUGCAUGUGCGUAGCUUGAUGAACUGUGACCCAGGGAGGCUGGAGGCACUAAAGCUGUGUUUGAGGCAGAAAUGAGUCACAGGGUGAGUCACCAAGCAGGAGGCUCGAGGGCGUGGGCUCCCGGCAGCCUCUGGCACCAGCUCAGCUCCAGCCUCACCUUGGGUACGUAAAAAUGACCGAAUAAUAUGCCAUUGUACGUGUAUAACGCAUUUUGUUUUUCCAUUCAUCUGUGGGAUUUGGAUUGUUG
Molecule: long non-coding RNA, 501 nt
Filed under: Canis lupus dingo (dingo)
Lineage: Eukaryota; Metazoa; Chordata; Mammalia; Carnivora; Canidae
Description: lncRNA (ENSCAFG00020000458.1)
Source: RNAcentral